Long non-coding RNA from Quercus robur (English oak), 2137 nucleotides. RefSeq lists it as uncharacterized. The transcript has 3 exons. Lineage: Eukaryota; Viridiplantae; Streptophyta; Magnoliopsida; Fagales; Fagaceae. The record is from RefSeq and is a predicted model, not a curated record.
ACUUUAGCCACUUGCUUUAGGCUAUUCUUCUCCCCCUCUCGUUGUUAUUGUAGAAGUGUAGGAGCAAAAUCCUCCUAUUAUUAAUCAUGGGAAGCUUUUCCUUCUUCUUUUUUUUUUUUUAGAUCUACCAAAGUGUCACACCACUUUUUUUUUUUUUUGGCUUCCUUUGGUGGCCUUUUCUUCUUCUCCACUAACAUUUCAUCUUUCAUAUUUUCUUCUAUUCUUCGUUAUUCGCUUCAAGAGCUGUGAAUAUUUGCUUUAACCCACAUUUGUUGAAACCCAAGGGCGAUGAGAUGAUGACGGCGAAAUGGAUGACUGGAGGAGAUCUUUGUUGGUGGAAAGCAUAAAUUUUAAGAACUCAACACCGUCCACCGUUCAAAAUGUCGGGAUUUAGGUGGGACGAAGUGCCAUCGCUAAAGGAAGAGGAAACCCAUCGACAAAGAGUAGAGUUGUUCCAUCAAUGAUGUUAGUGGACGUUUGCGAUAGAUUGCCACCCAUGGCUGCUAGACCAUCUAUACCAAUUUUGGCUAAGCAAUGUUGUUGGCAAAGAGGAAGGAACCUUCUUCACUAAGGAGCGAGGAUUUUGUUGUAAGAGAUUGAUGCCGAAUGCGGCGACAGGAUGUUGAAUCUGUUCUUUGUGCAAGCUCGAUAAAGUUGGAUACGACGCUCACCUUGGUUGGCUCUUCCUUAGGAGAUCACAAAAUUUCUAUGAGGUUUUGACCCAUAAGGUCGAGUCAUUGUAACUGAGGCUAAAUUUCGUAUUGAAGUUGGCUCCUUAUUGAUUCCGAUAGUCGCAAGGCAUGGAAAUAGUGCAAUUAUGAUUGACCUUGAGUUGGUCGCCAUGAAUAAUUGGACCACAUUGAGGAUGCUAUAAUUCUUGAGUUACUUGCUUGUUGGUCAAUUUGGUGAGAUUGUGUUUGCCAAGAUUAGAUUCGACGAAGUCGUAACCAUGAGCAAUAAGCAAUAUCGCUGGCCAUGCUAGUACAGUGCGUUUGAGAUGGGAUGGGACAAAGCUAUUACUUGCCGAUAUAGUAUAGAGGUGAGACAUAGCCACUGCAUUGGUUGGCAGCCCCUGUAUCGUGUUCUUGCAACAGAUGCAAGCAUAAGAUAGGACCACAAGUUGUUGCUUUGUGCUUGUUGUAAUGAUGAGGACAUAGUGUCAGUGAAACCAUUAUUGAUGAUUCCAUAAAGCGUCUAUUAUUUGAUUGUGGUAUUGCCCAUCCAUAACAGCCCUCGCAUCUUGGGCCUUGAUAGGACCAGAUUGACCAUGAUAGCAUGAGAGGUCGCCUUGUAAAAUAGCUGUUGUGUACGCUAAAAUGGUGAAUGGCAUAACUUGUAAGCAAGUAGGAGAUUCCUCUUUAUUGCAUGGCUAUAAAAAAAUGUUCAAUGAAACGUCAUUGUGCCAAGAUGCUUUCGCUUGUGGUGAUGUCGCAACUCCAUUUGUUUGAGAAUGAAGCUGCAAUUUUUUUUUUUUUUUUGGGCAAGUCAAAAUCUGCUGUGGCAAAGCCUGUUGCCACUCUUUCUCGUCAUGCCAUUAGGAGUUGUUGAGUGUGAUGCUUCUCCAUUCUACAUAGAAUAAGUGUACUUUAGCAGACUAUGCCAUUGUUGGAUGACUUUGGCUUAGAGAAUUGUGGUGCUGUCGUUGGGACUUUCAUCAAUGAGGCCAAUCUCAUUACCAAUGCAUCAUUUUCUGAGGUUAAGGCUACUGCAGACAGCAACAUAGAGCUACAAUAGAUGGAACCACGGCCGCUGUUAGUAACUUUGAACCCUUUUUGGUCUAUUUCUCACUUAUGGCUUGAAAGUAAAGAAGAGAGCGACUGCAAGCAAAUGUCCCAAAGAUGGUGAUGUUGGAUAGGGACUUCGACAUUGCUUCAACCUUUUCCUUCGCCUCCUUUCUUGCUUUCCCUUUCUUUUUUAUUUUUAUUUUUAUUUUUAUUUUUAUUUUUUAUUUUUUUAAUCUGAUCGUCUUGUAUUGAGCCCUAAGCUUUGAAAUUUGGAACUAGUUGAAGUGUGUAAUAUGGGCUGCUGCCUUGGAAACAUUUUCUCUUGUAUUUCACCAUUGUGGACAACCCACUUAUGUAUAGAGCAGCUCCUGUCUAGUUAUAUUGGUGCCACUUUGAGUUUGUACUAUCAUGGU